Molecule: ribosomal RNA, 492 nt
Filed under: uncultured bacterium
Lineage: Bacteria
Description: partial 16S ribosomal RNA
Rfam family: Bacterial small subunit ribosomal RNA
Source: RNAcentral
AGUGAACGCUGGCGGUAGGCCUAACACAUGCAAGUCGAACGGCAGCACAGUAAGAGCUUGCUCUUACGGGUGGCGAGUGGCGGACGGGUGAGGAAUACAUCGGAAUCUACUUUUUCGUGGGGGAUAACGUAGGGAAACUUACGCUAAUACCGCAUACGACCUACGGGUGAAAGCAGGGGAUCUUCGGACCUUGCGCGAUUGAAUGAGGCGAUGUCGGAUUAGCUAGUUGGCGGGGUAAAGGCCCACCAAGGCGACGAUCCGUAGCUGGUCUGAGAGGAUGAUCAGCCACACUGGAACUGAGACACGGUCCAGACUCCUACGGGAGGCAGCAGUGGGGAAUAUUGGACAAUGGGCGCAAGCCUGAUCCAGCCAUACCGCGUGUGUGAAGAAGGCCUUCGGGUUGUAAAGCCCUUUUGUUUGGAAAGAAAAGCAGCAGGUUAAUACCCCGCUGUUCUGACGGUACCCAAAGAAUAAGCACCGGCUAACUUCGUG